UUUUUCUCCCUUUCUCUUAGUUUUUUUUGUUUGGGUUCACUUUGGUUUAUUGUUUUUGGAUGUGCAUGAUUUUAGGUGUGGUAUAUAAGACAAUCUAGUCGAAUCCAUGAGCGACGACUCCGGAAUCUACACAAUAAUCAAUCAUCACCUCAAGCUAUGUUUCCUCCUCAUCGACAACCAGAAAGUCUACCCGUCCUCAACCUAGAGGUUGUCAUACCUCUAUCUUUACCACCUCG
RNAcentral lists this long non-coding RNA (236 nucleotides) under Linum usitatissimum (flax). RNAcentral describes it as "long non-coding RNA (LUSI_LNC007379)". The record is from RNAcentral. Lineage: Eukaryota; Viridiplantae; Streptophyta; Magnoliopsida; Malpighiales; Linaceae.